CUUCCUCCUUCCUCCACUAAGGUUAGACAACCUUAAUGGAGUCUUGACUUGAUCACAAGAAGACAAGGGCAUAAAAGGUUUCAUCAUGCUCUCCUCACCUAGAGAUUACCUCCCACCUUGUCAAAUUCCAGUGACUCCACCAAAUCUUAUACCACCUGACUGCAUAGUACUUGGAAGAUGGAGAAAGCAACACUACAGGUGAAAUAGAGGCAGAGUAGGAGAGUGAAAGCAGGAACUGAUUCAGGCAAACAUGAGUUUAAGUACUGCCUUCAAGACAUAAUCUCUGUAUGAACACAAGGAAGACACUCUAUGGCUGUUUGUGGGCACUAGAACAUCAUGAACAUCAACUCUGGAAUGAACAAGAAACCUGAUAAUGUCCAUAUGGAAUUAAGAUGAGAAUAUAAGGGUUAAACACUGAGAAACAAAGUUUUCAAAUUUCAUCGCUUCAUUCCUCUUUACAGUCUCAAUUAGGCUCUCUUCAUUUGCUCUAAUCAAACCCACAAUGCAUCAUUAGACUAUCACCUUUAGGUUGGUUUUAUUCAAGUUGUACUGACUUCCUUGCCAACAUUUUAUUUCCCUAAAAAUGUCAGCAGAAAAGCUUAUGUUUGCCUGUCAACAUUCUGUCCUAUGGCAUAAGGUUCCAUGUUUUCAUCUAUGCACCACAAUGCCCAUUUCUUUCCCUUUAGAUUCAAAUGUUAAUCAAGCCCCUAACAGAGGCAUCCUGAAAAAAAUGCUAAAAUAAUUCAUGCUUCACUUUGCUCUACUAGGUUUUUAUUCCUCUUUUGAUCAAAAUAUAAAUAAUAACAAUCAUUUUAUAAGUUCAAAUACAUGUGAUUUUUUAACCUCAGAAAUAUAAACAAAAAUGCUGUCUCAAGACAAUUAUUUACAAUAAAUUUGUUGGCACAGGUUUGAUAUUAAAAUCACCAUUUCCCAUUUAUCUUCUUCCUAAUAUUAUAUUUGGACAUAUAAAGAUGCCAAAAAACAAAUGGCCAUUUACAAAUAUAAAGUAAGGCAUUAAUCCUGGUGAUGAAAAUAAACCUUGAAGUCUACAAUAGAUUGCUGAU
Molecule: non-coding RNA, 1064 nt
Organism: Monodelphis domestica (gray short-tailed opossum)
Lineage: Eukaryota; Metazoa; Chordata; Mammalia; Didelphimorphia; Didelphidae
Source: RefSeq, a predicted model, not a curated record